UUGGGGAUUUAUAUAAAAGGUUGGGCCUGCCCGGUGAUCUGAAAUGGUUUAACGGCUGCGAUUGAAACCGUACUAAGGUAGCAUAAUAAUUUGCCCUUUAAUUGGGGGAGAGAAUGAAUGGUUUGACGGUAAAAAAGCUGUUUUAAAAAUAAAAAAAGAAGUUAACUUUUAAGUGAAAAGGCUUAAGUUUUUAUAAAAGACGAGAAGACCCCGUCGAGCUUAAUUAGAAUAACUUAAAUGUAGGUUAUUUAAAAUUUUAUUGGGGCAAUAGAAAAUGAAAUGAAUCAUUUUUUUUAUUAUAAGGAUCCAGUUUUGACUGAAAAAAGCAAAAGCUACCGCGGGGAUAACAGGGUAAUUUUUUCUGAGAGUUCAUAUUUAAGAAGAAGUUUGCUACCUCNAUGUUGGAUUAAAAUUUCUUUAUGCUUGCAGCAGGUAUAAUAGU
RNAcentral lists this ribosomal RNA (442 nucleotides) under Corbicula sp. 19A2. RNAcentral describes it as "partial 16S ribosomal RNA". It matches the Rfam family "Bacterial large subunit ribosomal RNA", at positions 1833 to 2572 of the family's 2925-position model. Lineage: Eukaryota; Metazoa; Mollusca; Bivalvia; Venerida; Cyrenidae. The record is from RNAcentral. RNAcentral also lists the same sequence under 2 other names.